RNAcentral lists this ribosomal RNA (252 nucleotides) under uncultured microorganism. RNAcentral's name for it is "partial 16S ribosomal RNA". It matches the Rfam family "Bacterial small subunit ribosomal RNA", at positions 524 to 776 of the family's 1533-position model. The record is from RNAcentral.
UACGUAGGUCCCGAGCGUUGUCCGGAUUUAUUGGGCGUAAAGCGAGCGCAGGUGGUUUAUUAAGUCUGGUGUAAAAGGCAGUGGCUCAACCAUUGUAUGCAUUGGAAACUGGUAGACUUGAGUGCAGGAGAGGAGAGUGGAAUUCCAUGUGUAGCGGUGAAAUGCGUAGAUAUCGGGAGGAACACCAGUAGCGAAGGCGGCCAUCUGGCUGGUAACUGACGCUGAGGUGCGAGAGCGUGGGUAGCAAACAGG